This is a non-coding RNA of Tulasnella sp. 424, 71 nucleotides long. The record is from the annotation of a GenBank genome assembly. Lineage: Eukaryota; Fungi; Basidiomycota; Agaricomycetes; Cantharellales; Tulasnellaceae.
GGUUCAUUGGUGCAGUGGAAGCACUUCGUUCAGACCAUCCGACAACCCCGGUUCGAAUUCGGGAUGAACCC